UGGGGUGUUCGGCGUGCGGGGGUCUUGGUUUUGGAGGGGGCGGCCUCUGGCACCUGUGGCGCUGUUGAACCACCUCGCAAGGGGUGGAGGGGGAUCUCGGGCAUCUCACUAUCGGAUGAACCCAGAUGGGAUUAGCUAGUACGCGGGGUAACGGCCCACCUAGGCCACUAUCCCUAGCUGGUCUGAGAGGAUGACCAGCCACACUGGAACUGACACACGGUCCACACUCCUACGGGAGGCAGCAGUGGGGAAUAUUGCACAAUGGGCGCAAGCCUGAUGCACCCGUGCCGCGUGUAUGAAAAAGGCCUUCGGGUUGUAAAGUACUUUCAGCGGGGAGGAAGGCGAUGUGGUUAAUAACCGCAUUGAUUGACGUUACCCGCAAAAGAAGCACCGGCUAACUCCGUGCCAGCACCCGCGGUAAUACAGAGGGUGCAAGCGUUAAUCAGAAUUACUGGGCGUAAAGCGCACGCACGCGGUCUGUUAAGUCAGAUGUGAAAUCCCCGGGCUUAACCUGGGAACUGCAUUUGAAACUGGCACGCUUGAGUCUCGUAGAGGGGGGUAGAAUUCCGUGUGUAGCGGUGAA
RNAcentral lists this ribosomal RNA (583 nucleotides) under Pluralibacter sp. HRTK056. RNAcentral's name for it is "bacterial SSU rRNA". It matches the Rfam family "Bacterial small subunit ribosomal RNA", at positions 144 to 685 of the family's 1533-position model. The record is from RNAcentral. Lineage: Bacteria; Pseudomonadati; Pseudomonadota; Gammaproteobacteria; Enterobacterales; Enterobacteriaceae.